GAUGAACGCUGGCGGCGUGCCUAAUACAUGCAAGUCGAGCGAACAGAUGAGGAGCUUGCUCCUCUGACGUUAGCGGCGGACGGGUGAGUAACACGUGGAUAACCUACCUAUAAGACUGGGAUAACUUCGGGAAACCGGAGCUAAUACCGGAUAAUAUAUUGAACCGCAUGGUUCAAUAGUGAAAGACGGUUUUGCUGUCACUUAUAGAUGGAUCCGCGCCGCAUUAGCUAGUUGGUAAGGUGACGGCUUACCAAGGCAACGAUGCGUAGCCGACCUGAGAGGGUGAUCGGCCACACUGGAACUGAGACACGGUCCAGACUCCUACGGGAGGCAGCAGUAGGGAAUCUUCCGCAAUGGGCGAAAGCCUGACGGAGCAACGCCGCGUGAGUGAUGAAGGUCUUCGGAUCGUAAAACUCUGUUAUUAGGGAAGAACAAAUGUGUAAGUAACUAUGCACGUCUUGACGGGACCUAAUCAGAAAGCCACGGCGAACUACGU
This 496-nucleotide ribosomal RNA is filed under the name uncultured bacterium. Its description in RNAcentral is "partial 16S ribosomal RNA". It matches the Rfam family "Bacterial small subunit ribosomal RNA", at positions 28 to 506 of the family's 1533-position model. The record is from RNAcentral.